CACACUAUAAUUGGACAUCCGAAUAUCCAAUUUUACAUUCACAUUCCCAUGCAAAUCGUCAUUCAUGAAAUCAUUUGUAAACCACCUCCACAACAUUCAAUUAUGCAAUUACCACAUACAUGAAUAACCAUAUCAUAGGCGUAUUGGCCAUCUCCAAAUAGCCUUAAUCAAAAAGAACAUUUAUUAAAUAAAGGUCAACAUUUUAGGCCAUAAGAAAUAUGACAUAUAUGACAAAACGACCAAACCUACUAUACAUGCCGUAACCCAAAAAUUUAUGUAUCUAGAUAUACCAAGUGUUCUAAUUGAUAGUGUGAGCAAAUCUCCGACGUCCACCGAUUCCCGAGCUAACUUGGCGAUACUAUAAGGCAAAGGAAAAGAGAGGGGAAGUAAGCAUAAAUGCUUAGUAAGUUCAUAUGAAAAUAAUAAGAAAUUAUUAAACUUGUGUGGACAAAUCCUCGCAAUAAUUUCUUAUGAUGAUAUAAUCAUUAUAUCACAUGCUUACACUUUAUUACUAAUAUUCACAUUAAUCUGUUUACUUGAGUCACUGUUACUAAAUUAUUUAUUUCUCGAGCUACAAAACUCCAAAUGAAGAACCGUAAAAUUUCCCUGAAACUAGACUCACAUAAUUUCUUACUAUAGAAAUUUCAGAAUUUUUGGUCUAGCCAAUUAAUACAGUUUAUUCAUUAAAUUUACCCCUGUUUCGUUGUCCAACAGUUCUGACACUUCUUCACAACGAAUCAAUUUUAUCCUCGUACAAAAUUCAUAUGAUGUUCUCGUUUAUUUCACUUGAAAAUAGACAUAAUAAGGAUUUCAAACAUAUAAAUUAUACUCCAUAGUUAUUUUUGUACAAUUUUUACUGAUUUUUCAAAGUUGGAACAGGGGAUUCCUAAACUCAUUCUGACCCUGUCUCACUAAAAUUCAAAUACCUCAUAAUUCACACUUCUUUGGCUUACUCUGUUUCUUUUAUGGAAAAAUAGACCCAUUAAUAUUUAAUUUCAUAUCUCACCCAAACUUUAAUUCAAUUUCCACCAUUUUUGGUGAUUUUUCAAAGUUAUACUAAAGCUGCUGCCCACAAUUGUUUUAAGGUCAAUUUCACUCAUUCAUUAAUUCUUUGUGUUCACUUUCAUUUAUAUACACUUACACCAAAGCAUUUUAUAUCUUGGCACACAACAAUCAAGUGAUCAUAAACACAUCUUACUCGUUUGCAUCCUUAUCAAUAAUGCAUCAUAAUCUGAGCACAUUAUUUAUGAAUAUCAUAUACAUACCUGUGCCUAGUCAUAAUACUCACAUAAUCUACUCUUACUUAUCUUGAGCAUACUCCUUGAAUUUCCCGUUGAAUUACUUGUAAUAUUAGGGAUUUUUGGGAUAUCUCGUACACCUGGUAGGACGCCAAUGCCAUAUCCCAGAUAUGGUCUUACAUGGGAUCACAUAUCAGUGCCGAUGCCAUGUCCCAGACAUGGUCUUACACUGACUCUCCUCUGUCCGUGCCGAUGCCAUGUCCCAGACAUGGUCUUACACUGGCACACUCACUGCCAUGGUCCAACCAUGGUCUUUUCUGUCAAUUCAUUACGAGUUGUAGUACGAAUGUACUUGACCCUGCAUUUCUCAUGAUUGAUCCUUCGAUCUAAUCUCGUACUUGCAUAAAGUCAUGAUUAGAUAACAAAUUUAUAUAAAAUAAUACAUCAUCUCAAUUCAAAUUUAAUAAUCGAUCACUAUAAACUAACUAUACGAACUUACACAUUCUCGUAACAUUAUCGAAUGCUCAAUGUUUCAUACACUAAUUGCCAUCGUAUAGCUGAAGCUAUCAUAAUCUCGCACACUAAGUGCCUUACAUAGCCGAAGCUAUCUCGGUCUCGCACACUAAGUGUCAUAAAUAGCCGAAGCUAUUCCAAAUCGCACACUAAGUGCUAUAAAUAGCCGAAGCUAUCUCGAAUUUCAUAUUAAGUGCUAAACACAGCCGAUUUAUUGUUAAACGUGACUGUAUUCUCAUGUAUACAAUUUAUGCAAUAACAAAGCAUUAAAAACAUAAUUGUAACGAUGAUUAACGCGUACGAACUUACCUCAACGCGAGUCGAUUAUUUUUAUUGACAUUUCCCCGUAUUUGGUCCAAAUCUCGAUUUCUUUGAUCUAAAAUGUCACAUUUCACUUAAUUAUCACUCACAUUACUCAUUUUAAUACAAAAAUCAUACAACGGAAAAUUUACAAUUUUGCCCCUAAACUUUCUCAUAAUUACAAUUUUGCCCCUAGGCUCGUAAUAUGAUUUUUAUUCAAUUUCCCAUAACAUUCAAGGUCAGCCAAACCUUUUUCUCUUCUAAAGCAACCUCAAAUUCUUAUUAUUUACAACUUUUAGGAGCAUUUACAACUUUUACUAAUUAACCCGUUUUAACCAUUUUCAACGAAAAUCACUUAGCAAAAAUCAUUCUCCUAACCUCGUGCACCCUUAUUCUAUCAUUAAACAUCAAAAUGCACAAAUAUCUAGCAUGGGUCAAUUUUUAAACUUCAUUUUUCGUGCAAAUAAAUAGUAAAAAUAGAAAGGUUAAGUUUCUAGGAUCUCAAAAAUACGAAGAACAUUAAAAACGGGGCUCAAAUGCACUUACAAUUGAACUUUGAAAAAGCUUGAAACCCUAGCCAUGGCUUGCUGAAAGUUUCGGCAGCAUGGAGAAGAGAAUGAGC
This 2673-nucleotide long non-coding RNA is filed under the name Gossypium barbadense (sea-island cotton). RNAcentral describes it as "long non-coding RNA (GBAR_LNC016075)". Lineage: Eukaryota; Viridiplantae; Streptophyta; Magnoliopsida; Malvales; Malvaceae. The record is from RNAcentral.